This 468-nucleotide ribosomal RNA is filed under the name uncultured bacterium. Its description in RNAcentral is "partial 16S ribosomal RNA". It matches the Rfam family "Bacterial small subunit ribosomal RNA", at positions 28 to 507 of the family's 1533-position model. The record is from RNAcentral.
GACGAACGCUGGCGGCGUGCUUAACACAUGCAAGUCGAACGGAAAGGCCCUGCUUUUGUGGGGUGCUCGAGUGGCGAACGGGUGAGUAACACGUGAGUAACCUGCCCUUGACUUUGGGAUAACUUCAGGAAACUGGGGCUAAUACCGGAUAGGAGCUCCUGCUGCAUGGUGGGGGUUGGAAAGUUUCGGCGGUUGGGGAUGGACUCGCGGCUUAUCAGCUUGUUGGUGGGGUAGUGGCUUACCAAGGGUUUGACGGGUAGCCGGCCUGAGAGGGUGACCGGCCACAUUGGGACUGAGGUACGGCCCAGACUCCUACGGGAGGCAGCGGUGGGGAAUAUUGCACAAUGGGCGGAAGCCUGAUGCAGCGACGCCGCGUGCGGGAUGACGGCCUUCGGGUUGUAAACCGCUUUCGCCUGUGACGAAGCGUGAGUGACGGUACUGGGUAAAGAAGCACCGGCUAACUACGUG